This 200-nucleotide unclassified non-coding RNA is filed under the name soil metagenome. RNAcentral's name for it is "partial contains internal transcribed spacer 2 and large subunit ribosomal RNA". The record is from RNAcentral.
UUCGAGCGUCAUUGCGACCAACAAGCCUAAGCUUGGUAUUGGAUGUCAUCUAGCUGGUGCAUCUUAAAGUCAGUGGCGGUGCCAUUCAGCUUCGAGCGUAGUAAUUUUCUCGCUUCUGGAGUUUGGGUGUCGUGCCUGCUAGAACCCCUAAAUUAUUAAGGUUUGACCUCGGAUCAGGUAGGGAUACCCGCUGAACUUAA